Molecule: RNA transcript, 2007 nt
Organism: Cottoperca gobio
Lineage: Eukaryota; Metazoa; Chordata; Actinopteri; Perciformes; Bovichtidae
Gene: cct8
Gene name: chaperonin containing TCP1, subunit 8 (theta)
Exons: 16
Source: RefSeq, a predicted model, not a curated record
AUGGCUCUUCACGUUCCCAAAGCUCCCGGAUUUGCCCAAAUGUUGAAGGAUGGCGCCAAGCACUAUUCUGGGCUUGAAGAGGCAGUCUAUCGUAACAUCAGAGCCUGUAAGGAGCUUUCUCAGACCACACGCACAGCCUAUGGGCCAAACGGUAUGAACAAAAUGGUCAUCAACCACUUGGAGAAGCUGUUUGUCACCAAUGACGCCGCAACGAUUCUCAGAGAGCUUGAGGUGCAGCAUCCAGCCGCCAAAAUGAUUGUGAUGGCAUCCCACAUGCAAGAGCAGGAGGUUGGAGACGGUACAAACUUCGUCCUGGUGUUUGCUGGAGCUCUGCUGGAGCUGGCUGAAGAGCUGCUCAGGAUGGGCCUGUCAGUGUCAGAGGUGAUUGAAGGCUAUGAGAACGCGUGUAGAAAGACCCUGGACAUCAUGUCAGACUGUGUAUGUUCCUCAGCUAAGAACCUCCAUGAUGUUAAGGAGGCGACAUCUCUUAUCCGUACAGCAGUCAUGAGUAAACAGUACGGUAACGAAGACUUCCUCGCGGGCCUCAUCGCACAGGCCUGUGUGUCCAUCUUCCCAGAGGCCGGCAGUUUCAAUGUUGAUAACGUCAGAGUAUGCAAGAUUUUGGGUAGUGGAGUGACGGCGUCCACCGUGCUACAUGGCAUGGUUUUUAAGAAGGAAGCAGAGGGAGAUGUUACAUCAGUUAAAGAUGCCAAGAUUGCUGUUUUCUCCUGCCCCUUUGACUGCAUGGUGACAGAGACCAAGGGAACCGUGCUGAUAAAUAAUGCAAAGGAGCUCAUGGACUUCAGUAAAGGAGAGGAGGAGAUGAUGGAGGCUCAGGUGAAGGCCAUCAAGGACGCUGGUGCCAACCUGGUGGUAACUGGGGGAAAGGUGGCUGACAUAGCGCUGCACUACGCCAACAAGUACAAGCUCAUGGUUGUCAGGCUGAACUCCAAGUGGGACCUCAGGAGGUUGUGCAAGACUGUGGGAGCUGUAGCACUGCCCAGGAUGACGGCUCCAACUCCAGAUGAGAUGGGUCACUGUGACAACGUGUACCUGUCAGAGGUGGGGGACACUCAGGUGGUGAUCUUCAAACAUGAGAAAGAGGACGGUGUCAUCUCAACGGUGGUGAUCAGAGGCUCCACUGACAACCUGAUGGAUGACAUUGAGAGGGCUAUUGAUGAUGGCGUCAACAGCUACAAGGUUCUGGUCAGGGACAAGCGACUGGUACCUGGAGCAGGAGCCAUUGAGAUUGAGCUGGCCAAACGGAUCACCGCAUACGGAGAGUCCUGCCCGGGUCUGGAGCAGUAUGCCAUUAAGAAGUUUGCUGAAGCCUUCGAGGCUGUGCCACGGUCGUUGGCUGAGAACUCUGGUGUGAAGGGAAGCGAGCUCCUCUCUAAAAUGUACUCUGCGCAUCAUGAGGGAAACAAAAACAUUGGUUUUGACAUUGAGGGAGAAGGCCCCGCUGUGAAGGACAUGCUUGAAGCUGGCAUUCUGGAGCCUUACCUGGUCAAAUACUGGGGUGUCAAACUGGCCACCAACGCUGCCAUCACAGUACUGAGAGUUGACCAGAUCAUCAUGGCUAAGGCUGCAGGGGGGACCCAAGGCUCCCAAGCAGAGAGGCCAUUGGGACAAGGACGAAUGGGAUGACGCACCUGAUAAUUUUGAAACUCACCAUUAGAGGGCGCGCACACACACCCUCCGUCAGUAGGUCCUGGAAUAUCAUCAUGGCUAAACCAGCAGGAGGACCCAAACCUCCUCCCCAGGGCAAGAAGGACUUUGAUGAGGAUGACUAAAUCUGAUGCCAUCCAGCUGAUGCUUCUUUAACCCUGAACGCUCCCACUUGGAUUGACAAAACCUUUUCUACUUGUUUAUUUAAAGCUUAACAGUUCGGUUUAUUUUGUAGAAAUGACCACACAUUGGUUAACAAAUAUGUGAAAGUAAGAUGUAUGGAUGGCACUGUUUGCUUUAUUUGUUCUAGGUCCCAAAUAAAAGGCACUUGGGCUAUCA